Molecule: ribosomal RNA, 271 nt
Filed under: uncultured bacterium
Lineage: Bacteria
Description: partial 16S ribosomal RNA
Rfam family: Bacterial small subunit ribosomal RNA
Source: RNAcentral
GUCCUAGCUGUAAACGAUGCACAUUAGACGUGAGGGGUAUCUACCCCCUUCGUGUCGACGCAAACGCAUUAAAUGUGCCGCCUGGGGAGUACGUCCGCAAGGUUGAAACUCAAAGGAAUUGACGGGGGCCCGCACAAGCGGUGGAGCAUGUGGUUUAAUUCGACGCAACGCGAAGAACCUUACCUGGGCUUGAACUGCUAGUAGUAGAAUUGAUGAAAGUCGAGACGAACCGUAAAGUCGGUUGUUAGCAGAGGUGCUGCAUGGCUGUCGU